RNAcentral lists this ribosomal RNA (497 nucleotides) under uncultured bacterium. RNAcentral's name for it is "partial 16S ribosomal RNA". It matches the Rfam family "Bacterial small subunit ribosomal RNA", at positions 28 to 507 of the family's 1533-position model. The record is from RNAcentral.
GAUGAACGCUGGCGGCGUGCCUAAUACAUGCAAGUCGAGCGAACGGACGAGAAGCUUGCUUCUCUGAGGUUAGCGGCGGACGGGUGAGUAACACGUGGAUAACCUACCUAUAAGACUGGGAUAACUUCGGGAAACCGUAGCUAAUACCGGAUAAUAUUUUGAACGGCAUGGUUCAAAAGUGAAAGACGGUCUUGCUGUCACUUAUAGAUGGAUCCGCGCUGCAUUAGCUAGUUGGUAAGGUAACGGCUUACCAAGGCAACGAUGCAUAGCCGACCUGAGAGGAUGAUCGGCCACACUGGAACUGAGACACGGUCCAGACUCCUACGGGAGGCAGCAGUAGGGAAUCUUCCGCAAUGGGCGAAAGCCUGACGGAGCAACGCCGCGUGAGUGAUGAAGGUCUUCGGAUCGUAAAACUCUGUUAUUAGGGAAGAACAUAUGUGUGAGUACCUGUGCACAUCUUGACGGUACCUAAUCAGAAAGCCACGGCUAACUACGUG